This 253-nucleotide ribosomal RNA is filed under the name uncultured bacterium. Its description in RNAcentral is "partial 16S ribosomal RNA". It matches the Rfam family "Bacterial small subunit ribosomal RNA", at positions 524 to 776 of the family's 1533-position model. The record is from RNAcentral.
UACGUAGGGGGCUAGCGUUGUUCGGAAUUACUGGGCGUAAAGCGUGUGUAGGUGGUUGCCGUAGUCAGGUGUGAAAGCCUUGAGCUCAACUCAAGAAAUGCACUUGAUACUGGGCAGCUAGAGGACCGGAGAGGAUAGUGGAAUUCCCAGUGUAGUGGUGAAAUACGUAGAGAUUGGGAAGAACACCAGUGGCGAAGGCGGCUAUCUGGACGGUUUCUGACACUAAGACACGAAAGCGUGGGGAGCAAACAGG